GGUCAGGUCCACCCCUCUGUGGCCCCCGAGCCUCGCCGGGUUUGUGUGCGAGCAGCGCCGCCUGCCGGCCGGAGGAGGGUCCGCGGGCCCCCGGCGGCGGCAGCAUCUGUGUGCCGCAGAGCUCUCUCUCUGCUCGGCGCAGAUCUCACAUCACACCGCCGCGUUCAGCACCGAGCGCGGGGGACCGCGAGGACCACGAGGACCGAGCCUAAUGUCUAGCAUCCUCCUUCAUCUUUCCUCAUCUGUCUGGUGCCGUACUGCGGGGUCAGUGUUUGAAUCGUCUUUUAUUGGAAAUGCAAAAUGUUGGAAUUUGAGUUCUGAGCCAGAAGAAAGCUCCUGUAGCCAAAGAAGAAGAAGAAGAUGGAUCCGUGCCAUAAAUAUCAAGGCGGUUCACUAUGUAAUCCAGGGUCAAAGGUCAGGUUAAAGAUGAACAUGAAGAACCUGAAAGAUGGAGACAAAGCUGCAGCACGUUCAGACUCCAUUCAAACCGUCUACAGCUCCUCAAUGUGCCCAGCGGAAAGUGAGUGAUGCACGCCACAGGAUGCCCUAAUAACUGUGUGCAUGAAUGACCA
This is a long non-coding RNA of Etheostoma spectabile (orangethroat darter), 572 nucleotides long. RefSeq lists it as uncharacterized. Lineage: Eukaryota; Metazoa; Chordata; Actinopteri; Perciformes; Percidae. The record is from RefSeq and is a predicted model, not a curated record. The transcript is spliced from 3 exons.